UGGGGAAUAUUGCACAAUGGGGGAAACCCUGAUGCAGCGACGCCGCGUGAACGAAGAAGGUAUUCGUAUCGUAAAGUUCUGUCCUAUGGGAAGAUAAUGACAGUACCAUAGAAGAAAGCUCCGGCUAAAUACGUGCCAGCAGCCGCGGUAAUACGUAUGGAGCGAGCGUUGUCCGGAAUUAUUGGGCGUAAAGGGUACGCAGGCGGUUUAAUAAGUCGAAUGUUAAAGAUCUGGGCUCAACCCCGCAAAGCUUUGGAAACUGAUAAACUGGAGUAGUGGAGAGGAAAGUGGAAUUCCUAGUGUAGUGGUGAAAUACGUAGAUAUUAGGAGGAAUACCAGUAGCGAAGGCGACUUUCUGGACACAAACUGACGCUGAGGUACGAAAGCGUGGGGAGCAAACAGG
This 403-nucleotide ribosomal RNA is filed under the name bacterium. RNAcentral's name for it is "partial 16S ribosomal RNA". It matches the Rfam family "Bacterial small subunit ribosomal RNA", at positions 355 to 776 of the family's 1533-position model. The record is from RNAcentral.